Molecule: ribosomal RNA, 348 nt
Filed under: uncultured bacterium
Lineage: Bacteria
Description: partial 16S ribosomal RNA
Rfam family: Bacterial small subunit ribosomal RNA
Source: RNAcentral
CCUACGGGAGGCAGCAGUGGGGGAUAUUGCACAAUGGGGGAAACCCUGAUGCAGCGACGCCGCGUGAGUGAAGAAGUAUUUCGGUAUGUAAAGCUCUAUCAGCAGGGAAGAAAAGGACAGUACCUGACCAAGAAGCCCCGGCUAACUACGGGCCAGCAGCCGCGGUAAUACGGAGGGGGCAAGCGUUAUCCGGAUUGACUGGGGGUAAAGGGAGCGUAGACGGUUCUGUACGUCUGGAGUGAAAGCCCGGGGCCCAACCCCGGGACUUCUUUGGAAACUGUGUAACUGGAGUCCAGGAGGGGCAGGCGGAAUUCCUGUUGUAGCGGUCACAUGCGUACAUCUCCGGAG